UAGACGCCCACCAACCAUGAAAAGCACUCCGGAUUAACGGACCCCCAAACAACAUGGUUCUGGUACAAACGUCUUCGGUUGGGGCGACCACGGGGGAGAGCAAAGCCCCCGAGAGGAUUGGGGGAAACCCUAAAACCAAGAGCCACAGCUCUAAGUCACAAAACAUUUGACCAAUAAUGAUCCGGCUUAUUGCCGAUCAACGGACCAAGUUACCCU
This 216-nucleotide ribosomal RNA is filed under the name Opisthonema environmental sample. Its description in RNAcentral is "partial 16S ribosomal RNA". Lineage: Eukaryota; Metazoa; Chordata; Actinopteri; Clupeiformes; Clupeidae. The record is from RNAcentral.